AUUGAACGCUGGCGGCAGGCCUAACACAUGCAAGUCGAACGAGUGGCGGACGUGUGAGUAAUAUCUGGGAAACUGCCUGAUGGAGGGGGAUAACUACUGGAAACGGUAGCUAAUACCGCAUACCAUCGGAUGUGCCCAGCUGGGAUUAGCUAGUAGGUGGGGGAACGGCUCACCUAGGCGACGAUCCCUAGCUGGUCUGAGAGGAUGACCAGCCACACUGGAACUGAGACACGGUCCAGACUCCUACGGGAGGCAGCAGUGGGGAAUAUUGCACAAUGGGCGAAAGCCUGACGCAGCCACGCCGCGUGUAUGAAGAAGGCCUUCGGGUUGUAAAGUACUUUCAGCGGGGAGGCGUUACCCGCAGAAGAAGCACCGGCUAACUCCGUGCCAGCCGCCGCGGUAAUUC
This 406-nucleotide ribosomal RNA is filed under the name uncultured bacterium. RNAcentral's name for it is "partial 16S ribosomal RNA". It matches the Rfam family "Bacterial small subunit ribosomal RNA", at positions 30 to 526 of the family's 1533-position model. The record is from RNAcentral.